AGUGAACGCUGGCGGUAUGCCUAACACAUGCAAGUCGAACGGCAGCACAGUAAGAGCUUGCUCUUACGGGUGGCGAGUGGCGGACGGGUGAGGAAUACAUCGGAAUCUACUUUUUCGUGGGGGAUAACGGAGGGAAACUUACGCUAAUACCGCAUACGACCUACGGGUGAAAGCAGGGGAUCUUCGGACCUUGCGCGAUUGAGUGAGCCGAUGUCGGAUUAGCUAGUUGGCGGGGUAAAGGCCCACCAAGGCGAGGAUCCGUAGCUGGUCUGAGAGGAUGAUCGGCCACACUGGAACUGAGACACGGUCCAGACUCCUACGGGAGGCAGCAGUGGGGAAUAUUGGACAAUGGGCGCAAGCCUGAUCCAGCCAUGCCGCGUGGGUGAAGAAGGCCUUCGGGUUGUAAAGCUCUUUUGUUGGGAAAGAAAAGCAGCAGGUUAAUACCCCGCUGUUCUGACGGUACCCAAAGAAUAAGCACCGGCUAACUUCGUG
This 492-nucleotide ribosomal RNA is filed under the name uncultured bacterium. Its description in RNAcentral is "partial 16S ribosomal RNA". It matches the Rfam family "Bacterial small subunit ribosomal RNA", at positions 29 to 507 of the family's 1533-position model. The record is from RNAcentral.